This 253-nucleotide ribosomal RNA is filed under the name uncultured bacterium. Its description in RNAcentral is "partial 16S ribosomal RNA". It matches the Rfam family "Bacterial small subunit ribosomal RNA", at positions 524 to 776 of the family's 1533-position model. The record is from RNAcentral.
UACGUAGGUGGCAAGCGUUGUCCGGAUUUACUGGGCGUAAAGGGCGUGCAGGCGGUUCGUUAAGUUCAGGGUGAAAGCUCCCGGCUCAACUGGGAGAGGUCUCUGGAUACUGGCGGACUUGAGGGAGGUAGAGGAGAGUGGAAUUCCCGGUGUAGUGGUGAUAUGCGUAGAUAUCGGGAGGAACACCAGUGGCGAAGGCGGCUCUCUGGGCCUUUCCUGACGCUGAGACGCGAAAGCGUGGGGAGCGAACCGG